RNAcentral lists this long non-coding RNA (2443 nucleotides) under Cucumis sativus (cucumber). RNAcentral describes it as "long non-coding RNA (CSAT_LNC002941)". Lineage: Eukaryota; Viridiplantae; Streptophyta; Magnoliopsida; Cucurbitales; Cucurbitaceae. The record is from RNAcentral.
AACAAGGAUGAAUAAUCAAUGAAAAAGGAAUGAAGAGGUUUAUCCAUGCAAGCUUCAAACCAAAGCCAAGGAUGUCGAUCCUUCCAGGGGAGUCCAAAGUUCUCCCUUAUUUUUCUCCCUUUAUUUUGAUUUUCAAAAGUUUGCAAUUUUUUAAGUGGGGGUGGGCAAUUGCUUGCAUGUUUAGUCUAAACUUGGAGGUUCAAAUUUUGCCCAAAUUUCAAAAUUUCUAAAAAAAAUUUCCUUACAAUAAUGAGCACUAUACCUUCUUAGAUUACUUAGAUCUUGCAUAAAAAGCAUGACUAGCAACCCUUGAUCACUGAGCUUGGGUUUGUGAUGUAAAAUUCUGAUUGUUGAUGAGUAUAUGUGCUGAAAUUUGAGAAUAAGCUGCCGUGUUUUUUGGUUUAAGCCCAUUUUUAGCGAUAUCUUAUGGAGAUGGGAAUGCAUGAUUGAGAAAAUGGUAUGUGUGUUGUGAAUGCUUGAUUGCAUGCAUAUAAUAAAUAAGUGCAUGGAUACUUUUCUAGCUUUGUCUUCCUUUGUUUCUUUGCCAUGACUUACCUAUGAUGCGCUUAGUCCAAACCUAGCCUAGAUAGAGUUAAAAAAGGAUAGGAGGUACUCUUUAGAAAUUGAGAUGGUUUUAACAAAUUUGUCUUGUCAAACAUGAGUUUGGAGCCUCUUGUCUAGCCACAAUGAACUAAAUCCCUUUAGAAAGGGUGGGCAUUAACAAAUCUUGUUGUCACUUCGAAGGGAGCAGUCAAACUUAGAAACUAAGUGUAGAACCAUAGAAAGGUUACCCCAUCGGUUAUUGUGUGCGUACCAAAGAAAGAAAAGAGAGACUUGCAAAUGUAAAACUUAAGACAGCGAGACAAUUAAGAGUUAAAAAAAACAAAGAACAUAUGCAUUAUACAUCAGAAAAAUCCCAUAAAAAAAUGAAGGGAAACUUCACUUUUGGCCUAACCAAAAGCAGACCACCUACUCUUAGCGUUCUAGACAUAGCAUUGAGUUUGAUGAGGGCUUUGAAAAGAGGAGGAAUCCUCCCCGUUCCACACUAGGGGAAAAACGAGACUUGUCACUCCGAAGGGAGCAGUCAAACUUAGCAUUGAGUUCAAGGUAUCCUUCUUAGAUUCUUGAAUCAUGACUACAUUAGGACUACAAUGAGCACCAUUGUUAUGGAUCAAAAUAAAGUUCCAAAUGUUCAUCCAAUCGUGCCAUCAAAUGUGUCAGAAGGAAAUAUUCAUGUUAGCAUUGGAAAGACGUCAAUAGCAGUGGAAAGAAUUGAAGAAAAAAGUGAAACAAAAGUGAAUGGAGACAGGAAAAUGAAAUUAUCCCAGAAAAGCCAACAAUGUGUAGCAAAUGGUACAAACAAGAGUUGAGAAAAGAUGGGGCAUGAUUUCAUGGUUUCAAAUGGGAAGUCAUCAUGUGUAUUUUAAGGGGAAAAUAUUUUGUUUUUCUAGUUCCUUUCCAGAAGAUCGGGUAUGUUGUAAAGAUUCUUUCCUCUUAUUUCAAACAGCAUGAUUAAUGUACACUAUGCACUUUAGGUUUUAGAUGUAUUAUUGUGGUAAAUAGCAUCCAUUUUUUAAAAAAAUAACAAAGUAGAAGCCCUGUAUUCAAUAUCAGUUGACUUGAGUAAAGAGUAGUUCAUUACUGCUCCAACUCCAUGAUUUUAAAAGCAAGUCAAUGGUGCAGAUAGGAUUCUAGAUCUACCGUUUCUUUAACACUCCGAUCCUGUUAAGAGAAUGAUAUAAAAAAAAUGGAAAAAUUACCUUUUUAGUCCCCAAUUUUAUAGAAAUAGGUUUAUUGGUCCUUGAGUUUUCAAAAUGUACUCUUUUAAUCCUUGAGUGCUUAAUGUUAUACUGGAGACUCUCAAAACCAAUUUUUUAGAAGAAGUUAUUCUACCUUAAAAAUGUAUAAAGUUAUAUUGGGGACUUUCUAAACCAAUUUUUAUAAACUUAGAGACUAAAAAGGUGCAUGACCAAAAUGGGUCUAUUUUUCUAAACCUGGAGACUAAAAAUGUACAUUUUUAAAACUCAAGAACCAAACACACAUGUUCUUCAAAACCAAAACUUGGGGAGUAAUUUUCCUAAAAAAUUUAAGAUAGUGCCAAAUGUCAUUUAGCAUGUGAAAUAAUUACGAUUUUCAUUUUUCAUUUGAGGAAUAUGCCUUCCAAUUUUUUUUACAUUUUAUUUUUGAACACUAACAAACAUGCAUCAACUUUUCACUUCCAUAAUCCCAAAUAUUUUUUAUGUAUAUUUUGAGAUCAUAUUUGAAAUUCUCCUACUAGAGAGCUGAAAUUGUUGAAUGGAUAAAUCAAGGGGGAGGCGAGGUUGUUGAAGAUCACAUGAAGCAGAAAGUGCACUUCACUGUUGAAUGUCAUGGUGGGAUACCAAGGAGUACAGACGUUCAUAGUACUUAUGUGUCAAGUCAUCGGGUUCGAUCAUGUUUAGAG